Molecule: small RNA, 77 nt
Filed under: Xanthomonas vesicatoria
Lineage: Bacteria; Pseudomonadati; Pseudomonadota; Gammaproteobacteria; Lysobacterales; Lysobacteraceae
Also listed under: 1 other name
Description: sX9
Rfam family: Xanthomonas sRNA sX9
Source: RNAcentral
ACGCAGUACGUGUACAUUUCGGUUCUGAGUGUGCCAUGCACACCCACCCGACUACUGCUCUCUACAUUUGGUUGGCC